AGCGAACGCUGGCGGCGUGCCUAACACAUGCAAGUCGAACGUGAAAGGGAGCAAUCCCAAGUAAAGUGGCGUACGGGUGAGUAACACGUAGGUAAUCUACCCCAGAAUCUGGACUAACCGGCCGAAAGGCUGGCUAAUACUGGAUAGAGCGACGGAAUCCGUAAUUGGGUUUUUCGGGAAAGGGAGCCUGUAAAAAGGCCUUCGUUCUGGGAUGAGCCUGCGUCCCAUCAGCUAGGUGGUGAGGUAAAAGCUUACCAAGGCAAUGACGGGUAGCUGGGCUGCGAGAACGGUCAGCCACCCUGGAGCUGAAAAACCAUCCAGAUUCCUACGGGCGGCAGCAGUAGGGAAUCUUGCGCAAUGGACGAAAGUCUGACGCAGCAACGCCGCGUGAGUGAAGAAGGCCUUCGGGUUGUAAAGCUCUGUCGAGUGGGACGAAAAUGCUUGGAGUUCACAGCUCCAGGAACUGACGGUACCACUAAAGGAAGCACCGGCUAACUCCGUG
RNAcentral lists this ribosomal RNA (502 nucleotides) under uncultured bacterium. RNAcentral's name for it is "partial 16S ribosomal RNA". It matches the Rfam family "Bacterial small subunit ribosomal RNA", at positions 29 to 507 of the family's 1533-position model. The record is from RNAcentral.